GGAGCGGUAGCUCAGAUGGUUAGAGUGCCGGCCUGUCACGCCGGAGGUCGCGGGUUCGAGCCCCGUCCGCUCCGCCA
This 77-nucleotide transfer RNA is filed under the name Thiohalospira halophila DSM 15071. RNAcentral's name for it is "tRNA_Asp_GTC". It matches the Rfam family "tRNA". Rfam says of the family: Transfer RNA (tRNA) molecules are approximately 80 nucleotides in length. The record is from RNAcentral. Lineage: Bacteria; Pseudomonadati; Pseudomonadota; Gammaproteobacteria; Thiohalospirales; Thiohalospiraceae. RNAcentral also lists the same sequence under 1 other name.